This is a long non-coding RNA of Xenopus tropicalis (tropical clawed frog), 355 nucleotides long. RefSeq lists it as uncharacterized. The transcript has 2 exons. The record is from RefSeq and is a predicted model, not a curated record. NCBI's taxonomy places the organism in Eukaryota, Metazoa, Chordata, Amphibia, Anura, Pipidae.
ACUUUUAUACACUUUCAUAUUUUGGUGUUACUGUUCCUUUAAAGGGACCAGUGCUGGCAGGGGUUUUCCUAGUUUAUUACAGAAGCUGUUACCCAUAAUUAUGCUUUUUUUUUUGCAGCCACAAAGAAGGGAUUAUGGCAAUUUGAACUAAAAACAUUGCAUUAUAGAAAUAGCACAAGCUACUGAUUAACAAGCCUGGAAGUGAUCUGAUUUCUUCUACAUUGUUUAUUCUACACAAUUCCAUGGGUCAGACCCAGAGAACAGAAAGGGACAGACAAAUACUGCUUUCAGUUUCAUUUGCAAAAAACACUGAGCAUUUUAAAUGACUAUUUAUUAAAAAAUUACUUAGAAUUUA